Molecule: ribosomal RNA, 468 nt
Filed under: uncultured bacterium
Lineage: Bacteria
Description: partial 16S ribosomal RNA
Rfam family: Bacterial small subunit ribosomal RNA
Source: RNAcentral
GACGAACGCUGGCGGCGUGCUUAACACAUGCAAGUCGAACGGAAAGGCCCUGCUUUUGUGGGGUGCUCGAGUGGCGAACGGGUGAGUAACACGUGAGUAACCUGCCCUUGACUUUGGGAUAACUUCAGGAAACUGGGGCUAAUACCGGAUAGGAGCUCCUGCUGCAUGGUGGGGGUUGGAAAGUUUCGGCGGUUGGGGAUGGACUCGCGGCUUAUCAGCUUGUUGGUGGGGUAGUGGCUUACCAAGGCUUUGACGGGUAGCCGGCCUGAGAGGGUGACCGGCCACAUUAGGACUGAGAUACGGCCCAGACUCCUACGGGAGGCAGCAGUGGGGAAUAUUGCACAAUGGGCGGAAGCCUGAUGAAGAAACGCCGCGUGCGGGAUGACGGCCUUCGGGUUGUAAACCGCUUUCGCCUGUGACGAAGCGUGAGUGACGGUAAUGGGUAAAGAAGCACCGGCUAACUACGUG